CCAUUCCUACGGGAGGCAGCAGUGGGGGAUAUUGCACAAUGGGGGAAACCCUGAUGCAGCGACGCCGCGUGAGCGAUGAAGUAUUUCGGUAUGUAAAGCUCUGUCCUUGGUGACGAUAAUGACGGUAGCCAAGGAGGAAGCCACGGCUAACUACGUGCCAGCAGCCGCGGUAAUACGUAGGUGGCGAGCGUUGUCCGGAAUUACUGGGUGUAAAGGGAGCGUAGGCGGGAGAGCAAGUCGACU
This 243-nucleotide ribosomal RNA is filed under the name uncultured bacterium. Its description in RNAcentral is "partial 16S ribosomal RNA". It matches the Rfam family "Bacterial small subunit ribosomal RNA", at positions 333 to 593 of the family's 1533-position model. The record is from RNAcentral.